GCCUACCAUGCAGUCGAACGAACUCUUCGGAGUUAGUGGCGGACGGGUGAGUAACACGUGGGAACGUGCCUUUAGGUUCGGAAUAACUCAGGGAAACUUGUGCUAAUACCGAAUGUGCCCUUCGGGGGAAAGAUUUAUCGCCUUUAGAGCGGCCCGCGUCUGAUUAGCUAGUUGGUGAGGUAAAGGCUCACCAAGGCGACGAUCAGUAGCUGGUCUGAGAGGAUGAUCAGCCACAUUGGGACUGAGACACGGCCCAAACUCCUACGGGAGGCAGCAGUGGGGAAUCUUGCGCAAUGGGCGAAAGCCUGACGCAGCCAUGCCGCGUGAAUGAUGAAGGUCUUAGGAUUGUAAAAUUCUUUCACCGGGGACGAUAAUGACGGUACCCGGAGAAGAAGCCCCGGCUAACUUCGUGCCAGCAGCCGCGGUAAUACGAAGGGGGCUAGCGUUGCUCGGAAUUACUGGGCGUAAAGGGAGCGUAGGCGGACAUUUAAGUCAGGGGUGAAGUCCCGGGGCUCAACCUCGGAAUUGCCUUUGAUACUGGGUGUCUUGAGUAUGAGAGAGGUGUGUGGAACUCCGAGUGUAGAGGUGAAAUUCGUAGAUAUUCGGAAGAACACCAGUGGCGAAGGCGACACACUGGCUCAUUACUGACGCUGAGGCUCGAAAGCGUGGGGAGCAAACAGGAUUAGAUACCCUGGUAGUCCACGCCGUAAACGAUGAUUGCUAGUUGUCGGGAUGCAUGCAUUUCGGUGACGCAGCUAACGCAUUAAGCAAUCCGCCUGGGGAGUACGGUCGCAAGAUUAAAACUCAAAGGAAUUGACG
RNAcentral lists this ribosomal RNA (819 nucleotides) under uncultured bacterium. Its description in RNAcentral is "bacterial SSU rRNA". It matches the Rfam family "Bacterial small subunit ribosomal RNA", at positions 46 to 915 of the family's 1533-position model. The record is from RNAcentral.